Long non-coding RNA from Octodon degus (degu), 100 nucleotides. RefSeq lists it as uncharacterized. NCBI's taxonomy places the organism in Eukaryota, Metazoa, Chordata, Mammalia, Rodentia, Octodontidae. The transcript has 4 exons. The record is from RefSeq and is a predicted model, not a curated record.
UAAAAGAAGCACUUUAUUUUAGCUGGUACCCAGCGGCGGUCCCUAUGCAAGGUGCAAGAGGCGCGCCGAGCAUUAACAAGGUGGGAAUAUUUAAGGAAGA